RNAcentral lists this ribosomal RNA (468 nucleotides) under uncultured bacterium. RNAcentral's name for it is "bacterial SSU rRNA". It matches the Rfam family "Bacterial small subunit ribosomal RNA", at positions 329 to 795 of the family's 1533-position model. The record is from RNAcentral.
UGCCAGACUCCUACGGGAGGCAGCAGUGAGGAAUAUUGGUCAAUGGUCGGGAGACUGAACCAGCCAAGCCGCGUGAGGGAUGACGGUCCUAUGGAUUGUAAACCUCUUUUGUCAGGGAGCAAAGGGCGCCACGUGUGGCGUUUUGCGAGUACCUGAAGAAAAAGCAUCGGCUAACUCCGUGCCAGCAGCCGCGGUAAUACGGAGGAUGCGAGCGUUAUCCGGAUUUAUUGGGUUUAAAGGGUGCGUAGGCGGACGCUUAAGUCAGCGGUAAAAUUGCGGGGCUCAACCUCGCCGAGCCGUUGAAACUGGGUGCCUUGAGUGGGCGAGAAGUACGCGGAAUGCGUGGUGUAGCGGUGAAAUGCAUAGAUAUCACGCAGAACUCCGAUUGCGAAGGCAGCGUACCGGCGCCCAACUGACGCUGAAGCACGAAGGCGUGGGGAUCGAACAGGAUUAGAUACCCUAGUAGCA